Molecule: ribosomal RNA, 484 nt
Filed under: uncultured bacterium
Lineage: Bacteria
Description: partial 16S ribosomal RNA
Rfam family: Bacterial small subunit ribosomal RNA
Source: RNAcentral
AUUGAACGCUGGCGGCAGGCCUAACACAUGCAAGUCGAGCGGAUGAAGGGAGCUUGCUCCUGGAUUCAGCGGCGGACGGGUGAGUAAUGCCUAGGAAUCUGCCUGGUAGUGGGGGAUAACGUCCGGAAACGGGCGCUAAUACCGCAUACGUCCUGAGGGAGCAAGUGGGGGAUCUUCGGACCUCACGCUAUCAGAUGAGCCUAGGUCGGAUUAGCUAGUUGGUGGGGUAAAGGCCUACCAAGGCGACGAUCCGUAACUGGUCUGAGAGGAUGAUCAGUCACACUGGAACUGAGACACGGCCCAGACUCCUACGGGAGGCAGCAGUUGGGAAUCUUGGACGAUGGAGGAAAGCCUGAUCCUGCCAAGCCGCGUGUGGGAAGAAGGUCUUCGGAUUGGAAAGCACUUUAAGUUGGGAGGAAGUGCAGUAAGUUAAUACCUUGCUGUUUUGACGUUACCAACAGAAUAAGCACCGGCUAACUUCGUG